This 484-nucleotide ribosomal RNA is filed under the name uncultured bacterium. RNAcentral describes it as "partial 16S ribosomal RNA". It matches the Rfam family "Bacterial small subunit ribosomal RNA", at positions 30 to 507 of the family's 1533-position model. The record is from RNAcentral.
AUUGAACGCUGGCGGCAGGCCUAACACAUGCAAGUCGAGCGGAUGAAGGGAGCUUGCUCCUGGAUUCAGCGGCGGACGGGUGAGUAAUGCCUAGGAAUCUGCCUGGUAGUGGGGGAUAACGUCCGGAAACGGGCGCUAAUACCGCAUACGUCCUGAGGGAGAAAGUGGGGGAUCUUCGGACCUCACGCUAUCAGAUGAGCCUAGGUCGGAUUAGCUAGUUGGUGGGGUAAAGGCCUACCAAGGUGACGAUCCGUAACUGGUCUGAGGGGAUGAUCAGUCACACUGGAACUGAGACACGGUCCAGACUCCUACGGGAGGCAGCAGUGGGGAAUAUUGGACAAUGGGCGAAAGCCUGAUCCAGCCAUGCCGCGUGUGUGAAGAAGGUCUUCGGAUUGUAAAGCACUUUAAGUUGGGAGGAAGGGCAGUAAGUUAAUACCUUGCUGUUUUGACGUUACCAACAGAAUAAGCACCGGCUAACUUCGUG